GGUGGCUCAGUGGUAGAGCACUUGCCUUGCACGCUUGAGACCCUGGGUUCAAUUCCUCAGCACCA
This 65-nucleotide transfer RNA is filed under the name Dipodomys ordii (Ord's kangaroo rat). It matches the Rfam family "tRNA". Rfam says of the family: Transfer RNA (tRNA) molecules are approximately 80 nucleotides in length. Their secondary structure includes four short double-helical elements and three loops (D, anti-codon, and T loops). Further hydrogen bonds mediate the characteristic L-shaped molecular structure. tRNAs have two regions of fundamental functional importance: the anti-codon, which is responsible for specific mRNA codon recognition, and the 3' end, to which the tRNAs corresponding amino acid is attached (by aminoacyl-tRNA synthetases). tRNAs cope with the degeneracy of the genetic code in two manners: having more than one tRNA (with a specific anti-codon) for a particular amino acid; and 'wobble' base-pairing, i.e. permitting non-standard base-pairing at the 3rd anti-codon position. Lineage: Eukaryota; Metazoa; Chordata; Mammalia; Rodentia; Heteromyidae. The record is from Rfam by way of RNAcentral.